AGGGUCACUGAGGGGGCGGCCUGGAGAAGGUUGGGAGAUGACCAUGCCUUUUUCUCUUAACAGGAAGGACCUGCUUCUGUCUGAAUUAUGGAGUCUGGUACUAGUUCUUCCAUAUGACCUUUCGUGAGCACCUUUAUGCGUAAAGCUCUUACCAAGUACAGGAUGAUCCUCUCAGGACAUUUCCCAGAAGUGGACUUCUUCAGUGACAGGCAGUGACCAGCCUGAUAUGUGCUGUCAAGUUUCUCCCAAAAAGCUUCCAGCAGGACUUCCAGCAGCACGGACUGAAAGAGCCAGUUUUACAUGCAGCCUUUCCGAGCCAGGGGUCUUAUUUAAAGAUAGCUUGGCUGAUUCCCAGAAGGCACUGCUAGGCGUACGACCCUCUGUUUAGCCAACUAGAAAUCGUGGUUUUGAAUAGCCUCAGUGUGACUGUUUUCAGCGAGAACGAGGGUACCAGAUCGCCACCGCCUGGCCGGUAGCAGCCCCAGUACGUUCACCACGGUGGAGGUGGGUGCCACGGUGAGGCAGUUCACGGGCACCGAGCUGGCCCCAGAGUCGGCAUACAUCUUCAGGCUGCCGGCCAAGACGAGGCAGGGCUGGGCGAACCGCUGGAGGGCCCCGUCAUCACCACUGAGAAGAGAGCCUCCAAGAGAUGAGAGCCUGAACAGCCUUCUUCAGGAAAACCAGAUCUACUACUGGGAGCUGGAGUCAGAGGUAUCCUCAGCCAAGAUGCUCAAAACCACUUCGGCUUUAUGGGCUGAGCUCCCAGCUCUGAGAAACACCGGUGUCAUGAGGUCAUCCUGACGGCCUACAACAUCAUCGGCGAGAGCCCAGCAGCGCGCCCGUGGAGGUGUUCGUCGGCGAGGCCGUGUCAGGAGUGGGGAUUGCCUUCCUGACCGUGCCUCUGUCUCCCUUACUGGUGGUGUAGACACGGUGUGUCGACAGACAAGGUGAGUUCAGGGACUUUCUACAUCACCAUAUUGGAUCAGCUGGGUUUCUGCCCCCUGUAGCCCUGGGAAGUAGUCCGCAUCCAUUUUGGCACCUCUGCUUUCAUGUGAGUGAGAGUCCUACCAGGGCCCCUGGUUUUAUUUUAUUUUAUUUUAUUAUUUUAUUUUAUUUUAUUUUAUUAUUUUAUUUUAUUUAUUUAUUUAUUUAUUUUUUAAAGAUUUUAUUUAUUUGACAGAGACACAGCGAGAGAGGGAACACAAGCAGGGGGAGUGGCAGAGGGAGAAGCAGGCUUCCCGCGGAGCAGGGAGCCUGAUGUGGGGCUCGAUCCCAGGACGCUGGGAUCAUGACCUGAGCCGAAGGCAGCCGCUUAACUGACUGAGCCACCCAGGCGCCCCAGGGCCCCUGGUUUUAAACACCGAGCUUGCCUCUGGCUGACUUUCUCACCUGGAUUACUCAGUUUUCUCUUGCCCUAUGGACAUGUGUUCUCAGGUGCCUCCACCUAAUUCAGAACACAGGCGUCAGUAUGCACAUGGCUUAAGCCUUGCUCACAUUCGGUGUUUCCUUUUUCUUCUGAUGCAUGUAAAUAUUGACAUGUUUGUGUUCCCAUCUAUGUCUUAUCAUUUUAAAAAAUCUUUUCUUAACCAUUUAUGUAUCAGUGCAUUGGGAGAAGAGGGUCUCACAACAUACUAGUGCAAUUCCUACCUGACUGACAUUUCUCAUUCGGUUUCUACUGGUCUGGAUUGGGAGUGGUGGUCUGGACUCCAAGAUGAUGGCUAAGAUGAAAGUGAUGGCAGUGGACAGAAGCACCUCGACUCAAAAUAUAUAUUUUGUAAUGAAUUGUAUAAAAUCUCUUGGCUGAAUGUGGGUGGUGAGGUAUGGGAGUUUCGAAUAUCUGUCAGUCUUCUGGUUUGAUCACUGGAGAAUUUUUGAAUCAUUUAUUGAAGUGGGAGAGCCUGGAAGAGAAAGCUUGUUCUUAAGUGGUUGCAAUCCAGUUUCCUUCUGACCAUGUGGAGAUGAACCAUUUGUGAGACCUAGAAGUGGACCUACCAUGCAGCUGGAUGGAUACAUGAGAGGCUCAGGAGAAAAGUCUGGAUGGAGGCAAAAUAGGAAGUUGUCAGCUGAUUGAUGCUACUGAGAGCCUGUCUCUGCAGUUUAUACCUUCUGCUCUCGUCAGUCAGGCUGAUUGUUCAUAGCCACACGUGUUUACUAAUUCUGAUCUGACCCAUUCAGCUUCCAGCCCUCUCUAUUCAGAUUCUUUAAGUUUUCCUCCUGCAGGUCACCUGAUGCCUGAGUUUUCUGUGACACAAGUAAUCCUUAACAUUUGCGUGGAAAGGAAACACGAGUGCCCCCGAACUCCAUCCUGUGAACAUGGGGAGACUUAACAUGAACAAGUGGAUAUAGGACAGAACAGGUGGUUAUCCAGCAGCCAUCCAUCAAAUAAAAGGAGAAUGAAGAGAGAAAAUGAAGGUCUGUCCUGGAACAGAAAUCUGAAUAUCGGAGAACAAAAUUGCAUCUGUUUCCAUAGAGUUGAAUCAAAGCUCUUUGAUCGAUUAAAAUAAUCCAUAAA
This is a long non-coding RNA of Mirounga angustirostris (Northern elephant seal), 2512 nucleotides long. RefSeq lists it as uncharacterized. The record is from RefSeq and is a predicted model, not a curated record. The transcript is spliced from 8 exons. NCBI's taxonomy places the organism in Eukaryota, Metazoa, Chordata, Mammalia, Carnivora, Phocidae.